Ostrea edulis (European flat oyster) is the source of this 1942-nucleotide long non-coding RNA. RefSeq lists it as uncharacterized. The record is from RefSeq and is a predicted model, not a curated record. Lineage: Eukaryota; Metazoa; Mollusca; Bivalvia; Ostreida; Ostreidae. The transcript is spliced from 3 exons.
AGGUACAAUUAUGAAAUUUGAAAGACACUUGGUGAAUCAUCUCUGUGAGAAGACCUGCAACCUAAUGCCCAGAAAAAAUUAGAGAUGAUCAACAAAUGGAAUCACCAUGGUGAUAUCUGUUUGAUGGCAGACGUACAAGUACUUCAGAAAAUUAGUGUGUUGAUGACAGACCAAUUUUAAAUUACAAUGUAUUUGUUUUCCUAAAAGUUGAGUUUAACAUAUAUACUCAAAAACAGUUCUAAUACUUAAGAAAUUCUUUUUAUUUUAUUUUUAUGAUAUAGAUCUAAAUUUUAAACUUUUCUUGUUUCAUCAGUACAGAGCACUAUACAAAUAUUAAAAUUACUUUGUCAAGGUUGUGAGUUCAAUGCUAUCAUUUUUGUCCAGAUCAUUAUUUAUUCACAGUGAUAGUCUGAUGUCUGCUAGCAGUAAUUUUAUUCAAAUGACAAAGCCACUUGUUUAUAAGUUACCAUGGAAACCCUGUACCAGAAGUCACCAUUGCAAUGCAAUUUUCUAAAUUAUAAUUGACUUCAAUGACCAUGCCCUUACUUUAAUCUGUGAAUACACGGUCUCCGUAGUCAUGCUGAUGUAAAAUUGAUCCAUUGAAAAGCAUGGCAAGCACUUUUAUUCACCUUGACAAAAAAUCCAUUUAAGACAAUGGAAGCUUUUGAUAUGAUAGCAUCUGGGAAUCACAUGGGUGGUUGCCUUGGAAGGAUGUAAACAGUUUGUAACCUCACUUUUCAUUGGCUGAUUAUGACUGAUGAUGCUGCAGACUAAAUUACCUGUAUUUUCACCUGAUGACAUUCAUCUAACCAACAGGUAGUUACAUUGACAAAUCAAACAUCAAUACAGAUCAAAGACAGCUAUUGAUAAAGAUAUAUAAAGUUCUGACAACUUUUUCCAGUUUUCUGACAAAGUUUUACAACAAAAAUGGCUGUCUCCAAGUUACCAACUCAUCACCUAGAGAACUGUAUGCUGGGAUAGCUCAUCACUAAGAUCACUGUUUUCAUUGGUUGAAUGCUCCCAAACCAGUCAAGUGAUACAAACUAUUUUUAUGCACAAGCGACCUCACAUUUAACAGGCAUCAUUGUCAUAGCAACCUAUUACAGUUGUCUUGGUAACAUACAUGCCUCAGAAUAUUCUAAUUAGAAGCCCCCAGCCAGAAGUUUUAGCACUGGUUCUGCACAGAUUGUUAUGUGAUAGGUGUACUUCUUAGCCUGGGGCUUUUGUUUUCUUUACUGAUAUUCACAAGUAAACUAAUUAUUCUCUCAUUACAUCAUACCCUUUGGCAGUUGAGAAGAGACACAGCAGGAAAGUGUCUUAGAUUUUUACACCUGUCAUAAAUGUAGAGAAGUUUAUUUUAUAAAAAUUAAGUAAAUUGUGGUCAUUAGAAUUGUGUUCAUGAAAAUGAAACUCAGAAAGAAAAAAAAUCUUUGGGGAAAUGUGGGGCAAAAAAUUUAAAUGUCCUAGAAAUCUGACACACCUUAGUUAACCUUACCUAUUUUCUGAUUUCAUCCAUUUAACACAAGAAAUGUUUAAAAUCCACAGUGCAGACUGACUGUCCCUCAGUUAAUUGACACCUGCAUGGUCGACAUACACUUAUCAGCAGGGAGAGACAGAGAUACCUAAAUAACUGGGAGGAUUUUGCCUGAUAAUGUCACACAUAUAUGUAUAUCAUAUAUACACUGCACAUUGAUAAAAACAAAAUCUCCACUGCUUGUCUGACACAGGAGAAAUAUACACUUACACUGUUGCAUUGCUCUGAGUGAAAACAUCCUGGAAACUAAUUCUUUAUUUCCUCAACAACGUAAAUCUCCUUCCUGUUUAUACAAAUUAUGCUUACUUGUACUUGUGUAUAGCUAGUAAAUUUCCCUUGACAGAUUUAUGUAAAUUUUUGUACAAGAAAUUUAUUUUAGGCAAUAUAUUAAAUAAUCACUGCAUCAGA